Long non-coding RNA from Acanthopagrus latus (yellowfin seabream), 1532 nucleotides. RefSeq lists it as uncharacterized. The record is from RefSeq and is a predicted model, not a curated record. Lineage: Eukaryota; Metazoa; Chordata; Actinopteri; Spariformes; Sparidae. The transcript is spliced from 5 exons.
UUUUGGACUCCUCGUCAAUGUUGACUUUGCCCUUUUCAGCGCAGCUCAAGCGGUCAUUGCCAGUCGCAGUAUAACGCAGUUGUCCUUUUCACGCCGAGUGCCCAAGCUGUGGCGUGGUCCUCAAUGAUGAAUCGCUGCUGCCCUCUCAUCUUUCUCCCGUCGAUCGCUUCUACUAUCGCUUUCUACCGAGCGGAGUCCCUCUCCGGUCAGAAUGCCCUGCAGACAUCAUAAAGCUUCAAUGACGAGUUGGAACAAGCUGAUGCGGAAUAAAUACGACACUUCAGUGACACUGCGGACGAUUUCAACAGCUCCAAAGCCGACAAACAACUGUUGAAGAAAACAGCUGUAGAGGAUGACAGACAAGCCGAGGCCUCGCAUGACUUUAUCCGAAACAAGCAAUAAUCCACAUAUCCUGCCUCGCUCUGAUAUUUUCCACCAGGGUCAGCGGAGAGGAAGCGAGAUGAGCAGGAUUGGAGGAUUAGUGUUGAUCCAUGCAAAUUAAAAGAUCAUAGAGGCAACCUCACAAGGCUGUGUGAGUAGGAUGCCCUUUGCGUGAAUCUGCAUGUGUUUUUGUGUCUGCGAGUGAGAGAGCUUGUAACCACCCCCCAGCACUUCAAUCUGCCUGUGCCGAAUGCAGCUGUGUGAACAUUUAGCUUCCAUUAAUCUCCCUGGGCUGAACAAAGUGAGGAAUAGUCCGUCGACUGGAUCACAAAUGCGAACAAAUGAAACACAUCGUUACCUUGAAGAAAAUGAUGGACUUUCUUUAGGAUCUUCGGUAUCAUGCAAACAAUUGUUGAAACAACGUCUUGAACUGUGGUCACUGGCUUGGCAGCCUUCUCUCCUGCAACUCAACCACCGUCCCCUCCACAUCCCAGGAUGAAAGUCAGGUCUUAAACAUGUGAACAUGUAGAAAUGUCAGUAAGGUACAUAGCCCAUGACACAUUAAGAUGUGAACAUACCCGAAACGCUAACUGCCAACAUUGUAUACUUGCGACUGGGCCUUUUUUUAAUUUUUAAUUUUUUUUUUAUCCAUCAUCAAGCAGAACGGCAGUUUUGAUUAUUUUGUGCUGCACUAAUCCAUAUUUUUCACAUUAUAAUGUUCAUUGUGGAAGUCCAAGCAUUUGAACAGAUUUCACAAAAUAUAUAGAACUAGUGCACUUUCUUGGUGAUGGUAUCCAGAUUUUGUUACCUUUGGACGGAGCUACGCGAGCUGUUUCCACCUGUUUCCUGUCUUUUUUGCUACGCUAAGCUAACCGGCUGCUGAAUGUAGCUUAAAAGCUACAUCAGAGAAGUGUGACUGCUGCGAAUCGUCUCGUCCAACAUGCCUCAAGAAAGCAAACAAAUUAUUCCUUCAAUAUGGACGUGACGCUGCCGUGAUGUUUCGAAAAAUGGCGUUUUGUUACAGCUGAGACAGGAGACGAUACACAAUGUCCUCGUGUAACACUCCCGAGACUAACUGUAUCUAAUUGUAUGUGUGUGUGCGUGUGUCUUUGAAGUCAGCCCGUGACUGUUCAAAGGAACUAGCGAGGCGC